This 428-nucleotide ribosomal RNA is filed under the name uncultured eukaryote. RNAcentral describes it as "bacterial SSU rRNA". It matches the Rfam family "Eukaryotic small subunit ribosomal RNA", at positions 592 to 1017 of the family's 1831-position model. The record is from RNAcentral.
CAAUAGCGUAUAUUUAAGUUGUUGCAGUUAAAAGCUCGUAGUUGGAUUUCGGUUGAGAACGGCCGGUCCGCCGUUUGGUGUGCACUGGCUGGUCUCAACUUCCUGUAGAGGACGCGCUCUGGGUUAACGCUCGGACGCGGAGUCUACGUGGUUACUUUGAAAAAUUAGAGUGUUCAAAGCGGGCUUACGCUUGAAUAUUUCAGCAUGGAAUAACACUAUAGGACUCCUGUCCUAUUUCGUUGGUCUCGGGACGGGAGUAAUGAUUAAGAGGAACAGUUGGGGCAGUUCGUAUUCAUUGUUCAGAGGUGGAAAUUCUUGGAAUUUUAUGAAAGUGAUCGAAACUUGCUAGCUGAAAUGCAAUUUGCCAAUGGACAUGUUUUCUAUUAAUCAAGAACGAAAGUUGGGGGCUCGAAGACGAUUAGAUACCA